Long non-coding RNA from Hibiscus syriacus, 143 nucleotides. RefSeq lists it as uncharacterized. The record is from RefSeq and is a predicted model, not a curated record. The transcript has 3 exons. NCBI's taxonomy places the organism in Eukaryota, Viridiplantae, Streptophyta, Magnoliopsida, Malvales, Malvaceae.
AAAAAGAGUGAUAAAAAAAAAAUAAUAAAAUAAUAAAUAAGUAAAUAAAAAUGAAGUGGAAGAACCCAGAUUCCAAAUGAACAAAUUCAAACUUAAAAAGAAUCUUUCUGAUUCUCGAAGAAUGAGGGGCAAAGGGAUUGAUC